GCGCAUGGGGAGUGGAGGGAGGGAGACGACAGAGGGAGGUUCAUCAUGGGGUGGGUGAGGACGAAGAGCUCGUGACUUCGUGACUCCGAGAAGGGAGUGCGGUGGGUGCGGCUGGCAGUGGCGGAGCCAGGAUUUCACAGCUGGGUAUUCCAUGUAUAAAAAAUUUUCAAUGUAUAUGUGCAAUAGUAAUAGAGGACAAAAUCAAUACAAAAUUGAUCCUGGUGCACAGCUCAAGUAGUACAUAUGAUUUUCUUAAAAUAUAUGCUAGGUAAAAUAUUCAUUUAUCUUGGUAACAAGACAUGAGGCAAAGUGAACCUAGUAUCGCCCCUGGUAAUAAUCAAAGUAUAUAUAAAUUCAUUAUCUAUGUUACAAGAACAUAAUUCAACAUUUCUUUAAAAAAAUCAGAACGCAAAAAAAAAAGAAGAAAACAGAACAUUCAAUUCUUACUUUGAAGAAUAAAAAAAAGAUGGUGUUCAUCUUGUUGUUGCUUCAAGCUGUAUAUGAGAAAGGUGUUGAGGGGGAGCCGUAUAUGAGAAAGCCUACAAAGAACACUGACCGCCGCCGCCGCUAGAGGAAUGUCGUCGAUGGAGUUUCUUUCUGAUGAGUUUAUGGGCUACCGCUACUAGUUGUUCUACUAGACUUAGAGCAACUUCAAGAGUUUAACUAUUUUUG
Molecule: long non-coding RNA, 672 nt
Filed under: Sorghum bicolor (sorghum)
Lineage: Eukaryota; Viridiplantae; Streptophyta; Magnoliopsida; Poales; Poaceae
Description: long non-coding RNA (SBIC_LNC004330)
Source: RNAcentral